UCUUGAUUUAUCAGUUGUAUCAACUCAAUUUAGCAGCAUUCUCUACAAUUCACAUUUUGAUUAAACAAGCUAACAUACAAUAAUGUUGAUUAUCGAAGAAGAACAAUUCGAAUGGAGUGCACUCUUGUAUUUGCUCUUGUCCAUUGUGCUGAUCAAUACACUUUCUUGGCUCUACAAGAAAGAUGAUGCAAAGAAAUCAGCUCAAAAUAAGGAGGAGAGUGAAGCAAAGAUUUAAAGAUGUGUCAUGCUCGAAAAUAAACAAACUACAUAAUAUAUAAUACAAGAAAUACAAAGAAUAAACAAAAUUAGUGGCUGAAUUCUUAUAUAAUUUUGUAUAUAAAAGGAUGUAAUUUUUUCACUAACUAAAAGCGAUUCAAGUCUGGAAAGAAACUUGCAAGUUAAUACUUCAUAUAUAUUAUAUUUAUUUAGAAAGAAUACAAAAAGGGAAAGAAAAUAUCGGACACUGAA
This is a long non-coding RNA of Drosophila nasuta, 468 nucleotides long. RefSeq lists it as uncharacterized. The record is from RefSeq and is a predicted model, not a curated record. The transcript is spliced from 2 exons. NCBI's taxonomy places the organism in Eukaryota, Metazoa, Arthropoda, Insecta, Diptera, Drosophilidae.